GUGGGGAAUAUUGGACAAUGGGCGAAAGCCUGAUCCAGCCAUGCCGCGUGAGUGAUGAAGGCCUUAGGGUUGUAAAGCUCUUUCAGUAGGGAAGAUAAUGACGGUACCUACAGAAGAAGCCCCGGCUAACUUCGUGCCAGCAGCCGCGGUAAUACGAAGGGGGCUAGCGUUGUUCGGAUUUACUGGGCGUAAAGCGCACGUAGGCGGAUUGGUCAGUUAGAGGUGAAAUCCUGGAGCUCAACUCCAGAACUGCCUUUAAUACUGCCAGUCUAGAGUCCAGAAGAGGUGAGUGGAACUCCUAGUGUAGAGGUGGAAUUCGUAGAUAUUCGGAAGAACACCAGUGGCGAAGGCGACUCACUGGCCCAAUACUGACGCUGAGGCGCGAAAGCGUGGGGAGCAAACAGGAUUAGAUACCCGAGUAGUCC
RNAcentral lists this ribosomal RNA (425 nucleotides) under uncultured bacterium. Its description in RNAcentral is "partial 16S ribosomal RNA". It matches the Rfam family "Bacterial small subunit ribosomal RNA", at positions 354 to 796 of the family's 1533-position model. The record is from RNAcentral.